Molecule: ribosomal RNA, 460 nt
Filed under: uncultured bacterium
Lineage: Bacteria
Description: partial 16S ribosomal RNA
Rfam family: Bacterial small subunit ribosomal RNA
Source: RNAcentral
CCUACGGGAGGCAGCAGUGAGGAAUAUUGGUCAAUGGACGAGAGUCUGAACCAGCCAAGUAGCGUGAAGGAUGACUGCCCUAUGGGUUGUAAACCUCUUUUAUAAAGGGAUAAAACGAGGCACGUGUGCAUUUUUGCAUGUACCUUAUGAAUAAGGAUCGGCUAAUUCCGUGCCAGCAGCCGCGGUAAUACGGAGGGUCCGAGCGUUAUCCGGAUUUAUUGGGUUUAAAGGGAGCGUAGAUGGGUCGUUAAGUCAGUUGUGAAAGUUUGCGGCUCAACCGUGAAAGUGCAAUUGGUACUGGUGGUCUUGAGUGCAGGUGAGGUAGGCGGAAUUCGUGGUGUAGCGGUGAAAUGCUUAGAUAUCACGAAGAACCCCGAUUGCGAAGGCAGCUUACUAAAGUGUGACUGACGUUGAUGCUCGAAAGUGUGGGUAUCAAACAGGAUUAGAUACCCUUGUAGUC